CUUUGCUGGCGACCGGCGCACGGGUGAGUAACACGUAUCCAACCUGCCCUUUACUCGGGGAUAGCCUUUCGAAAGAAAGAUUAAUACCCGAUAGUAUAAUGAUUCCGCAUGGUUUGAUUAUUAAAGGAUUCCGGUAAAGGAUGGGGAUGCGUUCCAUUAGGUUGUUGGUGAGGUAACGGCUCACCAAGCCUUCGAUGGAUAGGGGUUCUGAGAGGAAGGUCCCCCACAUUGGAACUGAGACACGGUCCAA
This 250-nucleotide ribosomal RNA is filed under the name uncultured bacterium. RNAcentral describes it as "partial 16S ribosomal RNA". It matches the Rfam family "Bacterial small subunit ribosomal RNA", at positions 83 to 334 of the family's 1533-position model. The record is from RNAcentral.